Long non-coding RNA from Siniperca chuatsi (mandarin fish), 1564 nucleotides. RefSeq lists it as uncharacterized. NCBI's taxonomy places the organism in Eukaryota, Metazoa, Chordata, Actinopteri, Centrarchiformes, Sinipercidae. The record is from RefSeq and is a predicted model, not a curated record. The transcript has 3 exons.
ACAUGCUGUAGUGUUCUUGAGGAACGGAAGGGGCCGAAUGGAGUUCAGGAAGUCAGCUAUAAGGGAGUUCCAGUACAAAUGGGAGAUAACUCAAUGAUUAGAACUGAAGAAAGAUCUGGGCAGCGUCCUUGGAUAAAGGAAAGCUUCCUUUAUCUUCUCUGAGCACCAGAGACCAUGAGCUGCCUCCUUAAUAUGGUGUGACUGUAACAGCAAGAUUGGAAGGGCUGCAUGCAGAAGUUGGCUGCCACAAGACCAUCCCACAAGAACGGAGGAGAAGGGAGAAGAGCAGUCAAAUCCUCUCCUCUGAUCCCAUUGAUGUCUAAGCUUAACUCUAAUUGAGGAGGUGCUCACUUGACAUAGCAUAAGUCCCUCCUAUAUUACUCACUUAAGCAGCUCUCCUUGAGCUGGGAAAGAUGUCCUUUACUCCCUGGUGUCCUGCAGUCAACUUUUAAAAGAUCAAUUGUAAUUUGGGCUGAAUAACCUCAACGACUUCUGAUGGAUUGCUCACAUGGGCUCAUGGGGAUCAAGGGAUCGAUACAUUUUAGAAAAUGAAAUAGGUGAAUGAGUGUUGUAUGUUUAUUGCUAUUGUAGUGAAAUACAUACUCUGUUUAGCUGGAUCCCUACUGAUGCUAGCAUUGAGUUACAGAUGAAUGAGUUCUCUAAUAACAAGUCGGUAUAAAGGCAUGGCUGUUUCAUGUGGGGCUGUGGGAGUUUGUGCUGCUAUUUGUUCAUUUUUAGGCACUGCAUGUUGACAUUCAUGGUGAUUUGGUUAGGUUAUUACAAAGAGCAGCAAAGUGUGUAGAGCUUGAAGAGUUUUGUUGCUGUUUGGGGUUCACUGAUGCUUGUGGGUUUAGAUUCAUGAUGGAUUGAUACCUGAGAACUGCUUUUCCAUGCUGAGUAGAGGAGAGAAGACAAUAUGAAGGCUUCUAAUUCAUUCAGAAAGCGGAAGUAGCACAACAUUGUUAGUUGUUACAAGCAGUUGUUUACACAUCCAGCAGCUACAGAGCAACAUCAGCAUUCAUUUGGAGUCACAAACAGCUGGGGGGGGGGUGGAAUUAAAAUUAAACUUAAACCCUAGUCCUUAAACCCUAGUGGUGGGAGAUCAGAAAAAACGCAUUUUCUGUGAUUUAAUUAGCCUCACACACAUACUCAGUAGGUGAUUUGUUAAUUUUUAACAAAAAUUACAGACGUUCACCUGUGACUAGCAAACCAACUCAUGGACAACUCCCCCCCUAAGCUAUAUAAUUUAGAGAAUAUUAUAGAUGAAAGAUGAAGAUGAAACUGACAAAAGGGUGUGACUCAGAGAAAAAGUCCCAAUUACAAAUUUGUCUGCUACUUACAGCACCAUGGUCAGGGUCAUAGAUUCUAACUUGCACAAACCUCAGUCAGAUAAAGGAUCAAUGAGUCAGGCAGACCAGACUAAUAUAUUCAACUAAACAACCCCUCUGCCCUUGCACUCUCUCUGCUAUGAGGGGGGGGGGCAGGUUUGAUAAUUUUGCUAACAAGGGGGAUGGCAUCCAUGCUUAUACCCCUCACUACUUAUACUGCUAAUCAUGACACCAGU